GGGGCUGUAGCUCAGUGUUAGAGCGCCCACCUCUCACGUGUGAGGAACUGGGUUCAAUCCUAAUCACCACCU
Molecule: transfer RNA, 72 nt
Filed under: Ictidomys tridecemlineatus (thirteen-lined ground squirrel)
Lineage: Eukaryota; Metazoa; Chordata; Mammalia; Rodentia; Sciuridae
Description: Spermophilus tridecemlineatus (thirteen-lined ground squirrel) tRNA
Rfam family: tRNA
About the family: Transfer RNA (tRNA) molecules are approximately 80 nucleotides in length. Their secondary structure includes four short double-helical elements and three loops (D, anti-codon, and T loops).
Source: Rfam by way of RNAcentral